RNAcentral lists this transfer RNA (94 nucleotides) under Ipomoea nil (Japanese morning glory). It matches the Rfam family "tRNA". From Rfam's summary of the family: Transfer RNA (tRNA) molecules are approximately 80 nucleotides in length. Their secondary structure includes four short double-helical elements and three loops (D, anti-codon, and T loops). Further hydrogen bonds mediate the characteristic L-shaped molecular structure. tRNAs have two regions of fundamental functional importance: the anti-codon, which is responsible for specific mRNA codon recognition, and the 3' end, to which the tRNAs corresponding amino acid is attached (by aminoacyl-tRNA synthetases). tRNAs cope with the degeneracy of the genetic code in two manners: having more than one tRNA (with a specific anti-codon) for a particular amino acid; and 'wobble' base-pairing, i.e. permitting non-standard base-pairing at the 3rd anti-codon position. Lineage: Eukaryota; Viridiplantae; Streptophyta; Magnoliopsida; Solanales; Convolvulaceae. The record is from Rfam by way of RNAcentral.
CUGACCUUAGCUCGGUGGGUAGAGUGGUGGACUGUAGUUGGACUAAUCUAAAUUGGAAAUCCUUAGGCCGCUGGUUGGAUUCCGGCAGGUUGGA